Molecule: long non-coding RNA, 590 nt
Organism: Rosa rugosa (rugosa rose)
Lineage: Eukaryota; Viridiplantae; Streptophyta; Magnoliopsida; Rosales; Rosaceae
Exons: 3
Source: RefSeq, a predicted model, not a curated record
UUCUCAGAAAACCCACUUCAUCACUUUAGAUUUACUAGGCCUGAUCUGGAAAUACAUAGUGGAGAAUGAACAACUCUUUCAUUCUUACGAAACUCUGCUCGUCAGCUAACUUCGGCGUCUAAAAACUCCAUCUUCUGUUGCUCAGAUAGUCACGACUUCUUCAUAAAAGUUGUUCAAAAUCGAGUCUUCUAAACUGUCUUCAAAUUUCAUGAAAAUCCAACGGUUGAAUCUUCCAAAAUCAAGUCCCUCUUCGAAAUGGGUCGAGUUCUUCUCUUGAGAUUGAAUUCAAUUCAUGAAGUACUCAUUUCAAUCUUGAGCAAGUUGAAGCCAUCAAGGAGAGAGAGAGGCAAAAGGAGAACAUAUGCAAUCUGGGUACCCCACCCAGCCCAACACCAACGCCGCCCAGCACCCGCCGAAACCCACCUAUCUGCUCUGGGUAUUUGAGUUUUUGUUAACGAAAUCCGGGAUCUAGUGAUGAUUCUGGUCAUGGGUAUGCAUAUCCUCGGUCCAGCGAGAAGAUGAGGAUGAGAGCUUCCGGAUAAAGACCCUCUAUUAACCAGACGGAGAUCAGGAGAGAUGUGAAAGAAGAA